This is a long non-coding RNA of Caretta caretta (loggerhead turtle), 687 nucleotides long. RefSeq lists it as uncharacterized. The record is from RefSeq and is a predicted model, not a curated record. Lineage: Eukaryota; Metazoa; Chordata; Testudines; Cheloniidae.
GCGUUUCCUGGCGGAUUUCGCUAGCCUCAGAGGUUCACUGUGACCCUCCACGUAACCCUUCUUUCUCUAGAGACAAGGGUCACAGUCUACUGAGCCAUUUUCAUCAUAAGCCAGCAAGUCAUGAUGAGUGAGCCGAGGGAGAGGAAGCAAGCAAGAGUGAGAUGUGUGAAUCAAAGUGCUUCGUCAAGCAUUGCGGCUUUGAGGAGACAAUCGUCGAGAUAAGGAAACAUUAUGACAUCUUGUCUGCUGAGGAAGGCAGUGACUACGGCUAUCAGCUUGGAAAAAACUCGGGGGGCGGUGGAUAGGCCAAAGGGUAGCACCCUGUAUUGAAAAUGUGUCGAGCUGAAGGGGUUUGAAUUCCCAGGGACCGGAGAGUUGCCCUUAAGUCCUCCAUUGAGUGAAGUACGUCAUUCGUCGUGGAGACAAAGAGUUUGUCACCGUCAAAGGGAAGAUCUUCAGUGGUACUCUGGACCUCUUGAGGAAAGGAGAAGGAGGAGAGCCAUGAACCUCGGCAAUGACAACUGCUGUAGCAGUAGAUCUUGCUGCAGUAUUGGCUGCAUCGAGGGCACUUGAAGAGUGGUACUUGAGAUAAUUUGUCCCUCAGAAACUGGAGCCAUAAAAUGUUGUUUCUUUUUUCUGGAAUGUUAUCAGUAAAGUCCAUGAAUUUGUAAUUUUUGUGGUCAUAUU